RNAcentral lists this ribosomal RNA (473 nucleotides) under uncultured bacterium. Its description in RNAcentral is "SSU rRNA". It matches the Rfam family "Bacterial small subunit ribosomal RNA", at positions 26 to 518 of the family's 1533-position model. The record is from RNAcentral.
AGGACGAACGCUUGCGACGUGCCUAAGAAAUGCAAGUCGAACGGGGUCAUCCUUCGGGGUGGCCUAGUGGCGAACGGUCGCGUAACACGUGGGCAACCUGCCCUGAAGCGGGGGACAACACACCGAAAGGUGUGCUAAUACCGCAUGUGAAUCGUGGUGGCAUCACCGAGGAUUCAAAGCCGCAAGGCACUUCAGGAUGGGCCCGCGGCCUAUCAGCUAGUUGGUGAGGUAACGGCCCACCAAGGCUUCGACGGGUAGCUGGUCUGAGAGGACGAUCAGCCGGAUUGGGACUGAGAUACGGCCCAGACUCCUACGGGGGGCAGCAAUUAGGAAUCUUGCGCAAUGGGCGAAAGCCUGACGCAGCGACGUCGCGUGAAGGAUGAAAUCUUUCGGGAUGUAAACUUCUUUUUUCGGGGAAGAACAAUGACGGUACCCGAAGAAUAAGCCCCGGCUAACUACGCGCCAGCAGCCGC